This 478-nucleotide ribosomal RNA is filed under the name uncultured bacterium. RNAcentral describes it as "SSU rRNA". It matches the Rfam family "Bacterial small subunit ribosomal RNA", at positions 26 to 518 of the family's 1533-position model. The record is from RNAcentral.
AGGACGAACGCUGGCGGCGUGCUUAACACAUGCAAGUCGAGCGAGGCUCCUCCUUCGGGAGGAUGCCCUAGCGGCGAACGGGUGAGUAACACGUGGGCAACCUGCCCCUAGCACUGGGAUAACCCCGGGAAACCGGGGCUAAUACCGGAUACGACUUCGGAAGGCAUCUUCUGAAGUGGAAAAGGUUACUGGCUAGGGAUGGGCCCGCGGCCUAUCAGCUUGUUGGUGGGGUAAUGGCCCACCAAGGCGACGACGGGUAGCCGGCCUGAGAGGGCGACCGGCCACACUGGGACUGAGACACGGCCCAGACUCCUACGGGAGGCAGCAGUGGGGAAUAUUGCACAAUGGGCGAAAGCCUGAUGCAGCGACGCCGCGUGAGGGAUGACGGCCUUCGGUUGUAAACCUCUUUCGGCCCGACGAAGCGAGAGUGACGGUAGGGGUAGAAGGAAGCACCGGCUAACUACGUGCCAGCAGCCGC